AUUGAACGCUAGCGGCAUGCUUAACACAUGCAAGUCGAACGGCAGCGCGGGGAGCUUGCUCCCUGGCGGCGAGUGGCGGACGGGUGAGUAAUGCGUAGGAAUCUACCUUAUAGUGGGGGAUAACCCGGGGAAACUCGGGCUAAUACCGCAUAAUCUCUACGGAGCAAAGCAGGGGACCUUCGGGCCUUGCGCUGUAAGAUGAGCCUACGUCGGAUUAGCUAGUUGGUGGGGUAAAGGCCUACCAAGGCGACGAUCCGUAGCUGGUCUGAGAGGACGAUCAGCCACACUGGGACUGAGACACGGCCCAGACUCCUACGGGAGGCAGCAGUGGGGAAUAUUGGACAAUGGGGGCAACCCUGAUCCAGCAAUGCCGCGUGUGUGAAGAAGGCCUUCGGGUUGUAAAGCACUUUCAGUGGGGAAGAAAGAACCAAAAUUAAUACUUUUGGGUGUUGACGUUACCCACAGAAGAAGCACUGGCUAACUCUGUGCCAGCAGCCGCGGUAA
RNAcentral lists this ribosomal RNA (504 nucleotides) under uncultured bacterium. Its description in RNAcentral is "partial 16S ribosomal RNA". It matches the Rfam family "Bacterial small subunit ribosomal RNA", at positions 30 to 523 of the family's 1533-position model. The record is from RNAcentral.